ACUCCUACGUGAGCAGCAGUAGGGAAUCUUCCACAAUGGACGGAAGUCUGAUGGAGCAACGCCGCGUGAGCGAAGAAGGUCUUCGGAUCGUAAAGCUCUGUUGUAAGGGAAGAAUAAGUACAGUAGUAACUGGCUGUACCUGACGGUAC
RNAcentral lists this ribosomal RNA (149 nucleotides) under uncultured bacterium. Its description in RNAcentral is "partial 16S ribosomal RNA". It matches the Rfam family "Bacterial small subunit ribosomal RNA", at positions 335 to 488 of the family's 1533-position model. The record is from RNAcentral.